UGGGGAAUAUUGGGCAAUGGGGGAAACCCUGACCCAGCAACGCCGCGUGAGGGAAGAAGGCCUUCGGGUUGUAAACCUCUGUCCUUGGGGACGAAGAAAUGACUGUACCCAAGGAGGAAGCUCCGGCUAACUACGUGCCAGCAGCCGCGGUAAUACGUAGGGAGCGAGCGUUGUCCGGAAUUACUGGGCGUAAAGGGUGCGUAGGCGGCGUCUUAAGUUUAUUGUGAAAUCCCCGGGCUUAACUUGGGGCUUGCAGUAAAAACUGGGAUGCUAGAGUACAGGAGAGGUAAGUGGAAUUCCUAGUGUAGCGGUGGAAUGCGUAGAUAUUAGGAGGAACACCAGUGGCGAAGGCGACUUACUGGACUGAAACUGACGCUGAGGCACGAAAGUGUGGGGAGCAAACAGG
RNAcentral lists this ribosomal RNA (406 nucleotides) under uncultured bacterium. RNAcentral's name for it is "bacterial SSU rRNA". It matches the Rfam family "Bacterial small subunit ribosomal RNA", at positions 355 to 776 of the family's 1533-position model. The record is from RNAcentral.